RNAcentral lists this ribosomal RNA (486 nucleotides) under uncultured bacterium. RNAcentral describes it as "bacterial SSU rRNA". It matches the Rfam family "Bacterial small subunit ribosomal RNA", at positions 28 to 526 of the family's 1533-position model. The record is from RNAcentral.
GACGAACGCUGGCGGCGUGCUUAACACAUGCAAGUCGAACGGUGAUGCCCAGCUUGCUGGGCGGAUCAGUGGCGAACGGGUGAGUAACACGUGAGUAACCUGCCCCAGACUCCGGGAUAAGCCUUGGAAACGAGGUCUAAUACUGGAUACGAGAUGCCCCUGCAUGGGGAGUGUCUGGAAAGAUUUAUCGGUCUGGGAUGGACUCGCGGCCUAUCAGCUUGUUGGUGGGGUAAUGGCCUACCAAGGCGACGACGGGUAGCCGGCCUGAGAGGGCGACCGGCCACACUGGGACUGAGACACGGCCCAGACUCCUACGGGAGGCAGCAGUGGGGAAUAUUGCACAAUGGGCGAAAGCCUGAUGCAGCGACGCCGCGUGAGGGAUGAAGGCCUUCGGGUUGUAAACCUCUUUCAGCAGGGAAGAAGCGCAAGUGACGGUACCUGCAGAAGAAGCGCCGGCUAACUACGUGCCAGCAGCCGCCGUAACAC